Molecule: ribosomal RNA, 615 nt
Filed under: Trichoderma longibrachiatum
Lineage: Eukaryota; Fungi; Ascomycota; Sordariomycetes; Hypocreales; Hypocreaceae
Description: eukaryotic LSU rRNA
Rfam family: 5.8S ribosomal RNA (bases 229-382)
Source: RNAcentral
CGAAUUAAGGGGUUUAACUCCCAAACCCCAUGUGAACGUUACCAAUCUGUUGCCUCGGCGGGAUUCUCUUGCCCCGGGAGCGACACAGCCCCGGAUCCCAUGGCGCCCGCCGGAGGACCAACUCCAAACUCUUUUUUUCUCUCCGUCGCGGCUCCCGUCGCGGCUCUGUUUUAUUUUUGCUCUGAGCCUUUCUCGGCGACCCUAGCGGGCGUCUCGAAAAUGAAUCAAAACUUUCAACAACGGAUCUCUUGGUUCUGGCAUCGAUGAAGAACGCAGCGAAAUGCGAUAAGUAAUGUGAAUUGCAGAAUUCAGUGAAUCAUCGAAUCUUUGAACGCACAUUGCGCCCGCCAGUAUUCUGGCGGGCAUGCCUGUCCGAGCGUCAUUUCAACCCUCGAACCCCUCCGGGGGGUCGGCGUUGGGGAUCGGCCCCUCACCGGGCCGCCCCCGAAAUACAGUGGCGGUCUCGCCGCAGCCUCUCCUGCGCAGUAGUUUGCACACUCGCACCGGGAGCGCGGCGCGGCCACAGCCGUAAAACACCCCAAACUUCUGAAAUGUUGACCUCGGAUCAGGUAGGAAUACCCGCUGAACUUAAGCAUAUCAAUAAGCGGAAGAAUU